RNAcentral lists this ribosomal RNA (281 nucleotides) under Escherichia coli. RNAcentral describes it as "partial 23S ribosomal RNA". It matches the Rfam family "Bacterial large subunit ribosomal RNA", at positions 2650 to 2925 of the family's 2925-position model. Lineage: Bacteria; Pseudomonadati; Pseudomonadota; Gammaproteobacteria; Enterobacterales; Enterobacteriaceae. The record is from RNAcentral.
GGCGCUGGAGAACUGAGGGGGGCUGCUCCUAGUACGAGAGGACCGGAGUGGACGCAUCACUGGUGUUCGGGUUGUCAUGCCAAUGGCACUGCCCGGUAGCUAAAUGCGGAAGAGAUAAGUGCUGAAAGCAUCUAAGCACGAAACUUGCCCCGAGAUGAGUUCUCCCUGACUCCUUGAGAGUCCUGAAGGAACGUUGAAGACGACGACGUUGAUAGGCCGGGUGUGUAAGCGCAGCGAUGCGUUGAGCUAACCGGUACUAAUGAACCGUGAGGCUUAACCUU